Molecule: long non-coding RNA, 1300 nt
Filed under: Coturnix japonica (Japanese quail)
Lineage: Eukaryota; Metazoa; Chordata; Aves; Galliformes; Phasianidae
Description: lncRNA (ENSCJPG00005008981.1)
Source: RNAcentral
UUAAAUCAUCCUUCAUCCACUGGACAACAAGCUCCUAUCGCUGUGCAUCUCUGUUAAAUGGAGGGAACACCACCAGGUGAUGGACAUCAGGGCCAACCUUGGGUGAGCUGAUCCUGGAGGUGUUACCGCACUUCACACCUCCAAGCUCUCACUGUGUUAGCAGCUCACCUGUGACUUGAGGCAAAUGUCAGAGAAGCUUCUUUGCUAAUCUGACAGAUCUUUUUGAAUAAGUUCAGCUCCUGGAUUUCAUUUAUCUGCAGUGGGUAGUCAGCAUUCCCUUAAAUGUAUUGAAAAAAUCCUAAAUCCACAAAGAAAAUGUCCCUCUAAAAUGACAUUUAAGAUGGACGGGAAAAAAGAAAAAGAAAGCAGAUCAACCUUUGCUGUAAGCUCAUCAAUGCAGUUGCUCCAGAUUAGUACUGAUAUAACUGGAAUCUGCACCCCGCCCACAUAAGAAAUCUGUAAUUAGCAGGUGGGAGAUCACACACGGUUCUGUGGAAAUUUUACAUGUAUUUUAAAAAGAAAGUCUGCAAUGGAUUAGAGCUACUUGAUUCCUAUUCUGGGUUGUUCCCAACAGUGCUUUUGCGAAGUUAUGUUUUUUCUUCUCCACCCUGCAGAUUUCAGUUGUGUGAAGGAAGCAUCACAGCUUCCUCUGCAAUGCAUGGUGAAGCAGCAGUGGCUGCUGCUGGUCCUGAUCUGCAGGUCCUGCUGCUCUUGAGGAGCCAUCCCUCCGUGGGGCUUUAUGUCUGGAAGUGUGCCAUUUAUGGAGGGGCUGAUGGAACUUGGCUGGUUUGGGCAGAGCUCCCACUUUUCUCAGGAGAGGAAGACAGCUUCACAGUGCAUCGCAGAAAUUUAGCAGUCCCACACUCCCAUCGCAAAGACACAUGAAAGACAUUUGUAACAAAGGUAGGAAAAGGAAGAAGGGAUUAUUGAUCUAAUGUCUGGGCUCGUAACAUGGGCUGGAGGGGGGAAUGCAAUUCAAAUGUAUGAAAACGAGACUUUGGGGGUGGCUGGGGCAACCAAUGUCACCCUCAGAUGAAGAUGUCCUGAUGCAGAGCUGCUGAGGACUACAGAUGGAGAGGGGUGAAGCCCUGUUGACAGAUUCAUGCUUGAGGAACCAGAACACCCCCCAGCACUCACAGCUCAUCAUCAGGUGGUCCACAGCACAGGCUGUGGGUAGGUGUAGUGGCUAGGCUGGCCAUAAGGGUCUCUAGCUGCCUACAUUAAAGCCAUCUAUAUGAUUUGUUGGUCAUUCAGAUUUAGCUAAAGAAUAAAAGGGAGUGGCUGGAAAUUUUUUCUGCCA